CCAGGCUCUAAUCCAAGCCAUAGUGGCCUCUCUAUAGCUGCCGUGGAUAGUGAAGAGCCAAUAGAAACGUUUCCUCGACGGUCGCUGGUCAGACCAUUGCGGGCUAAUCGGCAACAUAUCAGGAAGCGACAGUU
Xenopus laevis (African clawed frog) is the source of this 134-nucleotide non-coding RNA. Lineage: Eukaryota; Metazoa; Chordata; Amphibia; Anura; Pipidae. The record is from Rfam.